This 425-nucleotide RNase P RNA is filed under the name Candidatus Woesearchaeota archaeon. RNAcentral's name for it is "RNase P RNA component". It matches the Rfam family "Archaeal RNase P". From Rfam's summary of the family: Ribonuclease P (RNase P) is a ubiquitous endoribonuclease, found in archaea, bacteria and eukarya as well as chloroplasts and mitochondria. Its best characterised activity is the generation of mature 5'-ends of tRNAs by cleaving the 5'-leader elements of precursor-tRNAs. The record is from RNAcentral. Lineage: Archaea; Nanobdellati; Candidatus Woesearchaeota.
GUAGGGGGAUGCUUGACAACCGGAAAUAAGCCUGCUUAGGCUUUUGUUUAAGCAGCUUAUUGCUGAGGAAAGUCUGCCCAUCGAAGCGAAAGCUGAAAGCGCCACUCAUUGUGUCCUUUUUUAUCCAAAAGGAUAACUCUGAGAUUCAGAAAUGAAUGGCAACCACUCAGAAACGAGACCACCAUGGAAAUGGGAUGAUAUGGCGAAGUUCUCUGCGAGGAGAAUGAGCAUUUGAGGAAACUCAAAGUUCAUCAAAAAUGAGAAAUCAUUAUGAUGAAUAAAUCCAUUGACGUCUUCCAAGGAAUGGAUGAAACGGUGAGCCCUGGCUGAUGCAAGUACCUUUGUGUACGCUUAGUAGAAUGUCAAGGCACCAGUUUGUUGUUCGUCAACAUUGGUGAACAGAAGGCAGCUUACAGUCCCUCUAC